Molecule: ribosomal RNA, 253 nt
Filed under: uncultured bacterium
Lineage: Bacteria
Description: partial 16S ribosomal RNA
Rfam family: Bacterial small subunit ribosomal RNA
Source: RNAcentral
UACAGAGGUCCCAAGCGUUGUUCGGAUUCACUGGGCGUAAAGGGUGCGUAGGUGGUGAGGUAAGUCGGAUGUGAAAUCUCCGGGCUUAACCCGGAAAUGGCAUUGGAAACUACCUUGCUAGAGGAUUUGAGGGGGGAUUGGAAUACUUGGUGUAGCAGUGAAAUGCGUAGAUAUCAAGUGGAACACCAGUGGCGAAGGCGAAUCCCUGGAAAAUACCUGACACUGAGGCACGAAAGCUAGGGGAGCAAACAGG